GCCGGAAUUGCUAGUAAUGGCAGGUCAGCAUACUGCCGUGAAUACGUUCCCGGGCCUUGUACACACCGCCCGUCACACCAUGAGAGUUGGGGAUACCCGAAGCCUGUGAGCUAACAGUAAUGGAGCAGCAGUCGAAGGUAGAAUCAAUGAUUGGGGUGAAGUCGUAACAAGGUACC
This 176-nucleotide ribosomal RNA is filed under the name uncultured bacterium. Its description in RNAcentral is "partial 16S ribosomal RNA". It matches the Rfam family "Bacterial small subunit ribosomal RNA", at positions 1325 to 1500 of the family's 1533-position model. The record is from RNAcentral.